RNAcentral lists this non-coding RNA (21 nucleotides) under Arabidopsis thaliana (thale cress). Lineage: Eukaryota; Viridiplantae; Streptophyta; Magnoliopsida; Brassicales; Brassicaceae. The record is from RNAcentral.
UGAGAUUAUUCAGGAAUACAC